GACGAACGCUGGCGGCGUGCUUAACACAUGCAAGUCGAACGGAAAGGCCCUGCUUUUGUGGGGUGCUCGAGUGGCGAACGGGUGAGUAACACGUGAGUAACCUGCCCUUGACUUUGGGAUAACUUCAGGAAACUGGGGCUAAUACCGGAUAGGAGCUCCUGCUGCAUGGUGGGGGUUGGAAAGUUUCGGCGGUUGGGGAUGGACUCGCGGCUUAUCAGCUUGUUGGUGGGGUAGUGGCUUACCAAGGCUUUGACGGGUAGCCGGCCUGAGAGGGUGACCGGCCACCCUGGGACUGAGACACGGCCCAGACUCCUACGGGAGGCAGCAGUGGGGAAUGUUGGACAAUGGGCGCAAGCCUGAUCCAGCAAGGCCGCGUGUAGUAAGAAGGCCUUCGGGUUGUAAACUGCUUUUGUACGGAACGAAACGGUUCUGGUUAAUACCCGGGGCUAAUGACGGUACCGUAAGAAUAAGCACCGGCUAACUACGUG
Molecule: ribosomal RNA, 488 nt
Filed under: uncultured bacterium
Lineage: Bacteria
Description: partial 16S ribosomal RNA
Rfam family: Bacterial small subunit ribosomal RNA
Source: RNAcentral